This is a long non-coding RNA of Chenopodium quinoa (quinoa), 1706 nucleotides long. RefSeq lists it as uncharacterized. The transcript has 3 exons. Lineage: Eukaryota; Viridiplantae; Streptophyta; Magnoliopsida; Caryophyllales; Amaranthaceae. The record is from RefSeq and is a predicted model, not a curated record.
AUGAUCACAGUGGGGUUCAAGCUGGGGGUUAACGCUUGAAAUUUAUUCCCCAGUAGGUGUGUUAUUUAUUUUUGUCCAUUAUUAAUGUACAAAUUUGCUACAAAAUUUAUCACGCUAAUUGAUAAUUAAUUACUUCAGUGUUAUGAAGCGAAAGGAUGUGAGUUCAUUGAUACCAAUGAUCGAUUAAGUCAGUUGCCACAUGUUGUUUUGAUGUCAAUCAUGUCCUUUUUAAGAAUGAAGGAAGCCGGAAAAACUAGUGUUGUAUCACAAACAUGGUAUAACUUGUGGCAUUGUUUACAUGUCUUGUUCUUCAAAGUAAAUCCCUAUUCUAAAAUCAAAGAUAAACUGUUACUUCCCGAACAAAGAUCAGGUUCGAUAAAUUUGAUAAUUUUUAUCCAACUAUCAAAUUGGUCUAAUUCCAAGAUUUUUCUUGGCACUACUAUCUCCAAUAUGCCAAAGGUACAAGAUUGAGUUCUCUGAUUAUGUCAGAUUUAUGUUUCUGUCAUACCAAAUUGUCAAAUUGAGUUCUCUGAGGGUUUGUUAAUAUACCAUUAACCGCUUAAUUUUCUUCUUAAAGGUAUAUAUAGAGCAAUGUGUAUUAUGUGAUUUAUGUAUUUUGAUAGUAGAUUGAAAAGUAUUGGACUUGAUUUAAUUGAUUCCCAUCACACAUUGGACUCAGUUACUAAAUUUCUAAACCUUUCUAAUGCUUCUUUUAAUUUGACAUAGUACCCUUAGGCUUAGGUGAGGUGUCAAAGCUCAAUCAAAAUUUUUCUUGAUGUUAAUAUCUAAAAAGGGCUAUUACGGGGAUAUAAUAGCUCAUAGUAUGUUUGUGUACAUUUUGUCUCUUAUUGUAACCAAAUUUGAAUUGAACUUGAGCUAAUUAUGUUCCAUUCCUUAUUGACAACUUCAGGUAAGAGGUGAUACUUCACACUAUGAUAUUAUUUUUAAUUCUACUUCCUCUGAAGAACUCUCAACAGGAUUACAUUCAGAUGCUUGUAGUACAUGAGAAGAGUGGCGGAUUUUGAGGACUAGGUACCUUGAAGAUCAUAUCCUUACUGGAGUCGUGGAUGAAGAGUAUUUGGCAAGACUUGUAGCCUACAACGAUAUAGAAUUGGAUGAGAUUCGAGAACAACGGCUAAGUUUUUUAGGCUUAAUUUUUUAUUGAAAGACUAGUUAUCUUAUUAAUCGAUGUUAUGAUUAAUCGCAUUUAGCUUAACAAAAUAAUACAACACUUUUCUAUAUAUCUAUUUUUAUUUAGCCUAUUGGUUAUUGUUAUUACAUUUCUAAAUUAUAAAUCAAUAUUUUUUUUUAUCAAGUUUAAUUAUUUUUUAUUUUUUAAAAGUAUAGUUAAUUUUGUUGCAUUGUAUUGUUGUGGAUGAAUAAUUCAAGUUAUGUGGAAUUAUUUGGAGUGUUUGUAUUGUAUGUUGUGGGUGAAUUUAAGUUAUAUGAAAGUAUUCGGAGUACGUGUUUUGUUAGUUGAUUUGUAACAGGUUAUAACUCAUUUGACGAUGGGUCGUUUGGUGGUUGUAUUCGAAUCAAAUAUUUAUAAAAAAAAAUUAUUUAUUUAUUAGUAACUAGCGUAAUCUAAUGCUAGUUACUAAUAGUUUUUUUUUAAAAAAUAAAAAAAUAUAUUCGUAACCGGCGUUAAGAUUUGCCAGUUACUAAUAAUACCCUAAUUGUAACCGGCAUAACUUAAUGCCAGUUAC